This 443-nucleotide ribosomal RNA is filed under the name uncultured bacterium. RNAcentral's name for it is "partial 16S ribosomal RNA". It matches the Rfam family "Bacterial small subunit ribosomal RNA", at positions 338 to 795 of the family's 1533-position model. The record is from RNAcentral.
CCUACGGGUGGCAGCAGUGGGGAAUAUUGGGCAAUGGGCGCAAGCCUGACCCAGCAACGCCGCGUGAAGGAAGAAGGCCCUCGGGUUGUAAACUUCUUUUAUCAAGGACGAAAAAAAUUCCGGUACUCGAUGAAUAAGCCACGGCUAACUACGUGCCAGCAGCCGCGGUAAUACGGAGGUGGCAAGCGUUAUCCGGAUUUACUGGGUGUAAAGGGCGUGUAGGCGGGACGGUAAGUCAGUUGUGAAAGCCAUGGGCUCAACCCAGGAACUGCAUUUGAAACUGUAGUUCUUGAGUGUUGGAGAGGCAGGCGGAAUUCCGUGUGUAGCGGUGAAAUGCGUAGAUAUAAGGAGGAACACCAGUGGCGAAGGCGGCCUGCUGGACAGUAACUGACGCUGAGGCGCGAAAGCGUGGGGAGCAAACAGGAUUAGAUACCCCAGUAGUC